RNAcentral lists this ribosomal RNA (497 nucleotides) under uncultured bacterium. Its description in RNAcentral is "partial 16S ribosomal RNA". It matches the Rfam family "Bacterial small subunit ribosomal RNA", at positions 28 to 507 of the family's 1533-position model. The record is from RNAcentral.
GAUGAACGCUGGCGGCGUGCCUAAUGCAUGCAAGUCGAGCGAACGGACGAGAAGCUUGCUUCUCUGAUGUUAGCGGCGGACGGGUGAGUAACACGUGGAUAACCUACCUAUAAGACUGGGAUAACUUCGGGAAACCGGAGCUAAUACCGGAUAAUAUUUUGAACCGCAUGGUUCAAAAGUGAAAGACGGUCUUGCUGUCACUUAUAGAUGGAUCCGCGCUGCAUUAGCUAGUUGGUAAGGUAACGGCUUUCCAAGGCAACGAUGCAUAGCCGACCUGAGAGGGUGAUCGGCCACACUGGAACUGAGACACGGUCCAGACUCCUACGGGAGGCAGCAGUAGGGAAUCUUCCGCAAUGGGCGAAAGCCUGACGGAGCAACGCCGCGUGAGUGAUGAAGGUCUUCGGAUCGUAAAACUCUGUUAUUAGGGAAGAACAUAUGUGUAAGUAACUGUGCACAUCCUGACGGUACCUAAUCAGAAAGCCACGGCUAACUACGUG